Molecule: ribosomal RNA, 253 nt
Filed under: uncultured bacterium
Lineage: Bacteria
Description: partial 16S ribosomal RNA
Rfam family: Bacterial small subunit ribosomal RNA
Source: RNAcentral
UACGGGGGGGGCAAGCGUUGUCCGGAAUCAUUGGGCGUAAAGAGCGUGUAGGCGGCUCGAUAAGUCUGCUGUGAAAGUCCAGGGCUCAACCCUGGAAGGCCGGUGGAAACUGUCGGGCUAGAGUCCGGAAGAGGCGAGUGGAAUUCCCGGUGUAGCGGUGAAAUGCGCAGAUAUCAGGAGGAACACCGAUGGCGAAGGCAGGUCUCUGGGCAUUAACUGACGCUGAGGAGCGAAAGCAUGGGGAGCGAACAGG